UUAAUAACCGAACCGAUGGUUGAACAUGUUAGACCACUAGUUCUCGAUUCAACCAGUUCGAUCGAUUCGACUGUGGGACCAAGUAAAAUUGGUUUUUUAUUUUUUAUUUUUUUAGAUUUUUGUGAACUUUUAAUUAUUGUUGGUUUGACAAUCGAAUCGACCGAACUGGUGGUCUAACCUGUUUAACCAUAGGUUCGAUUAUUAAA
RNAcentral lists this microRNA precursor (206 nucleotides) under Gossypium raimondii (Peruvian cotton). RNAcentral describes it as "miR7503b stem-loop (gra-MIR7503b)". Lineage: Eukaryota; Viridiplantae; Streptophyta; Magnoliopsida; Malvales; Malvaceae. The record is from miRBase by way of RNAcentral.